UGUGCCAGGGUACGGCCAGGGGGCCCGCAGCCCAGCGGCGUCAGCCACCUCUACAGGGAGAGGCCCUGCAGAGUCACAAAGUGGUUCGGGUUGGAAGGAAUUUAAAGAUCAACUCGUUUCACCUUCCCUGCCAUGGGCAAGGACGCUUUUUACUCGACCAGGUUGCUCAAAGCCUCAUCCAACCUGGCCUUUAACGCUUUCAGGGACGUGACAUCCACAACCCCUCUGAGCAACCUGUUCCAGAGCCUCAUCUCUCUUACACGAAAGGGUUUUCCCCUAAUAUCUAAUGUAAACCUGCUCUCUUUCCAUUUGCACCCAUUCUCUCUUUUCCUGUCACUACAUGGCCUUGUAAAUAGCCUUGCCCCAGGCUGCAGUUAGGUCAUGCUGAAGUUUUUACUCUUCCUGGUUGAACAAUCCCAUUCCUCUCAGCCUUUCCUCAUAGGAGAGGUGCUCCAUCCCUCUGAUCAACUUGUUGGUCCUCCUCUGGGUCACCACUGUUUGGUCCCAAAGCAGACAUCCUCUCUCAUGAUGUGCGUGGCUCUGUAGGCUUUCAGCACAGGUAAUACAGGUGGUCAGAAGACUGUUACUAAUAAAAAAGAGAAAUAUAAUGGCCUGGAAGUAAAUAGAAUUUUACUCCCCCACAAUUGCAGCAAAUAUUUAUGUUAUGCUCAACAACAGACAGAAGCAGAACCACACAACAUGUCAAGUUCCUGUUGCAGCAGGGAGAACCAGUGGUCCUGCAGACAAACUUCAGUAUGGAGCAUCCAUGACUGCAUGGAGUGAUGAGGCCACGUUUUCUGUGUUUUUCAUGGCCAGGCUGCUCACCUGAAUUCCAGAGGCUUGCAGCAAGUCACGCAAAGGGAAGCAGCCUCGUGAAUCCUGCUCACUGGCCCAUUUUCCCAGGGAGCACCUACCAUAUUUAAUUGUUCCCAACAGAAGCCUGUCUAACCUGUUUAAAAUCCUCCGGUGAUAGACGCUUUCAUACCGUUCCUCAGGCAAUCUCCUCUUGCACUUGUUAUAAAUAUGGAUGGAGACAAGAAGCUAGAUCUUCAGAUCUUGGAGUUUUAGCCCCAUACUAUUUCUCCCAUUUCUUGAGGACAUUGGCAAAAGAUUUAAUCCCUGAGGAGUGUAUAAAAAGAUGCUGCACAGCUGGAAGCUGCUAUGCAUCUUCUUAUUCUUUAUUAAAAAGAUUCCUUUUAUAUUUUUUCCUUACAGGUCACUUUGAACGUACAUUUCUCCUGUUCUCUUCUGAACUUCAGCUGCUUUACAUUUUUUUGGUAACAUAAUGUCCAGUACUAGACCCCACAUUCGCCCUGUCAGUGUGAAACUGAUUGAGAAGGUUAUGUGAUAUGCUGGAAUUUGCAUCUGUUUCUACAUGACACAAACACUUGCCGUCUUUUUUUCUUUUGCAAGUGUCACAUUGUUGCUGCACCGAUAGGUCAUGAUCUAUUCCACCUCAGAGGCUUUUUCAAAUCACUGCUGCCUAGCCAGUCUUUUCCCAUCUCAGAUUGUAUUGAAGAGUAAUGACCUUUCUGAAUAUAUGCUAAACAUCUCAUCACCAAGGCAGCAGAUCCUCUCCUCCAAGCAUCAGUAUCAACUCCUUGAGCAGUGCUGAAGCAGUUGUUUGUAGGCCUACACCAUCAGCUGUGUCAGUGAAACAACUCAGUCUAACAAAAAACAAAGAGUGGGGGAGGGAAGGACAAAGACUUUUUUGUGCUCCUUUUUAAUUCAGAUAAUUUUGUUGAUCUGAUUUACAGAGCAACCCUGCAAAACCAGUUUCUUGUGUAUGAGGUCACUGAACAUCAUCAGUCAAGCUGUCUCUACUACCUUCUUCUCCUUCCUACACACCACGAUAAUUUCCAUCUGUGCUCACAAUGCUGUGGAACUCCUCUGAGCUACUUUGCUCUUAUGCUCAAUUUUUCUCUUCUACUACCAAUUGUUGGAGCAAAGUCUUCUUUGAGGCCACUGGUUUUGGUCUUCCAUUCUCUUUUUCUCUCUUGCAAAAGUUUUGAAAAAACAUUGCAACAGUAAACAUUAGAUAUUUUCCUCCUAAUUUGAAGUAAACAAUUUUUUUUUUCCAGACUUCUAAAAUUAUUCAGUGACAGGAGGCUGUAAGAAGUCUGCAGAUUUGCAGAGGGAUCCUGACAUAGCUUGCAGGGCUGGCCGGGAUCCUCAGCCUGCUUUCUUUAUCCCUUUGCUUCAGAUGUUUCUCUCACUUACGCACUCUCCCUCUCCAUGUUAUCUCCCAGAAAACAUGGCAAUUUAGAAACCUAUGAUUCUAACUCAACCAUUUGUUAAGAAUUGGGACUGCACAAGCCUCCUUGGACCGUAUGUAUUUGAUAAGACCUUCAUUGCGUAGUUAGGCAGAGGCUUGGCAAGCACAAGCUUGCAUGCAAUGCUGAGUGCCCUGUCUCCUCUUGAUGACUGAAACAUUACUCCAAAUUGGGCAGACCUACCCUGUUUAUCAAUCCACAACUCUCAAGAUUUCACCUGCUCUUUCAAUGUCAGCUGUGUUUCUUUAAAACACACUGCUGCAGUAAGACAACUCAUGUAAAUUGCAGCUUACACAAGACAGAAAUAAGGGUUUAAGAAUUACAGAAGGACAAGAAAUGAGCAGAGGGCUAUCAAAACGUGGCAAACCUAGGGUUUUUUUUCCUCUUUUUGUUUGCAUUAAAUAUGACUAUGGUAGCUUCAAGUAGUUUUUUCUUGGGAGAGGUCUGUUUGACAAGCUGAAGAAUUCUGUAUGCAGUUUCACUCUAGCUCUCUGAACGAAAAGAGAACAAAAUUCAAAGUCUCUAAGCCAGUUUCCAUUCCAGCCUUUGAACUAACAGCUCUAAAGAAUCUCUUGAGGAAAGGAAAUGAAGGUGCCAUUGAAGAAGUAUAGCCGAGGUCAAAGUUUUUUGAUUUCCACUGGAGUUCAGGCUCUUCCUUCUGUAUUUACUGCAGCUACCACUUCUCGCACUGAACUUGAAACACAGCUAUGAAAAGACCAAUAAAUGUGUAGUUUUGUCAAUUCAGAGAGACCAAACAAGGCAAAGUAGAGGAAGAGCACAUUUUCUCUGGUGACACUAAGUAAUAACCAAUGCUGCGUUAGAAUACUCUACAAUAAAAGUGGGCAUCCAGUAAAUUAAAACUUCAGGAGUUAAAUGUCAGAGUUCUCUUGUUGAGGGCUCUGCAGUAUCUCACAGCUUUUGUUGUAGUUACAACAGAUUUUGUUGUAAUCAAAAUUCAUUUUGAUUACAGCAAUUAAAGAUUUGAAACUUUCUUCAAGAGCUGCAGAAAAAUAAUUUAAAGGCUGGUAAGAAAUUAAAAGUGAAAAUAUCCAGAAAAUGCAAGCUAAUCUCUACUAGAGAAGUUAAAACCUGGAAUGCAGCUAUGCUAAAAGAAACAAGGAUAGAUGUUUUGCCCAGAGGAUGAUAAAUGUGGGAGCAAUUAGCAAUGUUGAGCAUCAGAUUGCAUAGAAAGAAAUAAAAACCUGUCUCCAUUUGAAACUGUCAUUAAAAACACUGCAUUCUGGUUCAGCCACUUUGUUUCAAACUGAAGACAGUUGCAUGAAAAUCACUCAGGAAAUAAUGAAUUAUCCAGGAACAGGAAUGGGGCCACCUCCCAGGAAAAAAAAAAAAAAUCCCAAAUUCAAGGUAUAUAUUAUGAAGCUAAAAAUAGCUCCAGAGGCAUGACAACACUUUGGAAGUGUCUGAGGAUGUAACUUUUAGGGAUGGAAGGUGAAGGAUUUGGAGCACAAGAAGAGGUGCCACCUGAGCAAAUGUGACCAGAGCUGACAGAGCGACCAGCACGACCCAUUCCUCACAGCAAGGGAGUGUCGAUAGGAGAUCAAGUCCUGUGAUUUGACAGGUGCCACUGGACAGGACAUCUGGAACUGGCUGUGUAAUUUUGUGACAAAGCACCAGAAUGUUAACUGUGAGGAAGCCUUUUGCUGCAACAAGAGGAAGUGGAUGGCUGGAUAGAACCCCUGUUCUUUUCUGUCUGCAGUCCUCAGUGUUAGACUGAAUUGUAAAAUUCUCUAGCCACUUUUCCCUCAAGUAUGUUGUGAAUAUAAAACCGGAGUCUAAUACUUUAAAUACUCCUUGCAUUUUACUUAAGUAAGGUCAUUAUAAAGAGAAAAUAUGCAUAUGCUCUAAUUAGCUGAAACUGCUCACAGGCAAAAGCCUUCAGUUCCUUGAUGUUAUUCUCUGUACUCCACUGACUUGAGCUGCCUACAGAACUCCUUGGGGGUCAGCUCAAUGCCUGGUCCCACACCCAUGUGCUUCUGUUCAGUGCAUUUCGAUGAUCUGUCAGUGCUCAUGCAGGGUACCCAGAAGUACUUUUCUUCUUUCAGCUUAAAUACUGUCUGUUCACAGACAAGACUAUUGGAUUAUCCAGUUUACACACUGGAAAAAACAUAGCUGCUCAUUUUUGGUUACAUUUACAAAUCACAGCUGAACUACGCACAUAUAACUGUUCACAGAAGCCUUGUAGCUAUCUUUGCAGUGGUAAUAUAUUCCAUCUUUUGACCUCCAAAAACUUCUUUUAUCUCAGUACAAUCUUGACCUGCUCUGGUGGGAGGUCAGCUAUCUACAGCACCUGUUUCCAUUUGGUUAAGGGUUAGGAAGGAUGGUCCUUCAUAAAACUCUCAUCUUAAUCCCAGAAACUACAGCAUCUCAGUGCAAAUCUCCCUCUCUCUUUCUGUAAGCAGAGCACAUAGUUAUUUCUUCUGUUCCUAUAAAAGUUUUACAACCCUUAUGCCAUCAUAACUUCCCUGGAAGCCACCUUCUCUCUCUAAAGUUUGUUGCAAAUGAGUGGUCUGGGCUGCUUAUGGAAUUGCUGGCAAAGGUAUCAGCAAAAGCAAGAUACAUAUAUAUCUUAUAACUGUGUAUAUAUCAUAUAAAUUUGCAAAACCACAAUGAAGUUUGAUGGCAAGGUUCACUCUACCACUGUUACUCAGAUAAAGCACACAAAGUAAAAUCAUAUUAGAACCAGUCUAGAAUGAUUUAUUUGUAGAUGGGGAUCCAAAAGUGUAAAGCUGUAAAAUUCAGACACAAAUGCUUUCAAAACAAACAAAAGGGCAAGUGUGCCAAAGGACAAAGGAGCCCCUUUUGGUGUUAAAAGAGGUUCAGAGCAGACCCCCUUGCCAAACUCAGUGUCAGACUUGAUCAAUGGUGUAUAUCCAAGGAAUGUAGCACAACCUAAUCAUUGACUAAUUUAACGUUUACUAAACGAUCCAAUAGGGUUUGCUUUAAGCACAACAAUAACUUAAUUACAAAUCUAAUCUAACUACGAACGUGGGACGGGAACACUCGUAGUAUGUUUGCUGUACCGCAUGCCAAUCGAUUCACACGUGCACACACACAGACACAAAGAAGCAUGUACAAAGGUAUACCUGUAAAAAAUUCCCCAGGAGCCCAGUGAAGUACUCACAUCAGAUGCCUCUGCAUCUCUCAACAGCUGAGCCUUGAGAAGAGGGGGAGGUAUCAGCCCCAGCUCUGUCAUCAAUAGUUCUCUGAGUUGCUGAGCUCCAGAGAAGUCCCGCUCAGAGGGAGAUGAGCUGCAGCCCAGGGGAUCCCAGUGGGUCUCACUUAGUGCCACUCUCUACAGGGUUGGAAGAUGAUUGACUCUGGUCAUCAGUAAAUUUCCACUGUGGCCACAGCCCAGGCCAGUAGUUACUGGAAUUGUCCUUGAGAAGUCUAAUAAUAAUAUUAUUCUACUUAGGCUGUUACUCAGACAAAAAUAAGUUUUCAAGGCUGUUUGUUAGAAAACAGGAGCUCGCUAGGCAGCAGAAGUUCCUGGGAGCAGACAGUUUUUCUGAUAAGCUCAGGGAGCUGACUGCCCAUGUGCCAGUAAUCAAGGCUGAGGCCUAAGGAAUGGCCCUGAGAUCAUGAAGAAGCCAGAGGGGGUUAAGGAGCCAGAUCUUGCAUCACCACAAUGCUACAUCCUCAGGAAUUAUCAGAGAUUGAAGGGCAGGGAGAUCCUGAUAAGGAACUGUGGAGAAGAGUGAAGGGAUGAAUGUGAAAAUAGUAAUUGCUGCCAAAAGCAAGACUGGGGAUGUACACACAGCUAGACUAAACACAGCGAGGGGCACUGUUGUAUCUGGCCUCUUACUUGAACAAGAUUGUCUCUAGAUUUCCCUCUGGCUUUCCUUCCAGUUUUUGGAAGCCAUCAAGGUGGUGUCCAGAGCUCACUCCUUCUGUCUCCAUCAUCCACUUGUGUUCUCUUCCGAUUUAUGUCCUCUUUGCAUUAUCUCGGAUGCAUCUGAAAGUGCUGGAUGUACAGAGCACAUGACCUCACACUUACCUGCAUUUUACUGACAGCCAAGAAGGGAGAGGACAUCUCCUCAGUUUGAU
Long non-coding RNA from Passer domesticus (house sparrow), 6338 nucleotides. RefSeq lists it as uncharacterized. NCBI's taxonomy places the organism in Eukaryota, Metazoa, Chordata, Aves, Passeriformes, Passeridae. The record is from RefSeq and is a predicted model, not a curated record. The transcript has 3 exons.